GGAAUCAGAAGCUCAAUGGCCAAUACUUUGUCCUAGCUCCAGCUAGCUUCCGUUCAGCUGUAUGCUUGUAUAUAUUCGCAAUUCCUUCAUUCCUAAGGAUAUGGGUUGGGACCAAGUAACAAUAAUUGUUACAAUUAUGUAGAAAGUUUAUAUCUUUCAUUAGUGUUUGGUGAUCGGUGCGUCUUAUUGACGACUUCAAAUCAAA
This 205-nucleotide unclassified non-coding RNA is filed under the name Hevea brasiliensis (rubber tree). Lineage: Eukaryota; Viridiplantae; Streptophyta; Magnoliopsida; Malpighiales; Euphorbiaceae. The record is from RNAcentral.